Molecule: ribosomal RNA, 460 nt
Filed under: uncultured bacterium
Lineage: Bacteria
Description: partial 16S ribosomal RNA
Rfam family: Bacterial small subunit ribosomal RNA
Source: RNAcentral
CCUACGGGUGGCAGCAGUGAGGAAUAUUGGUCAAUGGACGCGAGCCUGAACCAGCCAAGUAGCGUGAAGGAUGACUGCCCUACGGGUUGUAAACUUCUUUUAUACAAGAAUAAAGUGAGGCACGUGUGCCUUUUUGUAUGUACUUUAUGAAUAAGGAUCGGCUAACUCCGUGCCAGCAGCCGCGGUAAUACGGAGGAUCCGAGCGUUAUCCGGAUUUAUUGGGUUUAAAGGGUGCGUAGAUGGGUGGUUAAGUCAGUUGUGAAAGUUUGCGGCUCAACCGUAAAAUUGCAAGUGAUACUGGCAGUCUUGAGUACAGUUGAGGUAGGCGGAAUGCGUGGUGUAGCGGUGAAAUGCUUAGAUAUCACGAAGAACUCCGAUUGCGAAGGCAGCUUACUAAACUGCCACUGACAUUGAUGCUCGAAAGUGUGGGGAGCAAACAGGAUUAGAUACCCUAGUAGUC